GCAGAGUUGGGAGGCCGAGGGGCUAUCCGCCACAGGAGCGCACUUCCGGGGAUAACAAACACACUUUCAGAAUCCGGCAUCGGCAUUUCAUCCGACUCCUCCGACGUGCGCACCUGUUUGCUGUUCUUCUUCUCUUCCGGGGUUUUCUUGUCGUUUUUUUUGAAAGCUUCGAAAGUGGCGGGGUCGACACUGUAUAAACAUUCGGUCCACUUCCCAUAGAGGGCACAGAGCUUCUUUUUGCUGUCAAGAGACACUGAUGUUUAGCCAACAAUUAACCCAGCAUUUUGCUAUAACUGAAUAUUAUUAAAAAGAGGCUUAUGAAUCAGAUUCUUUAGAGAAAUAAAUAUUUCCUUGUAGAAGAUUUUCCAACUUAUUGAAAUGCCUGUUUCCUAGGUUAUAGCAGAUUUUAAUACUGACAUUUUAUUUAUAAAUAAAUAAAUAAAUAAAUGUUGACCUGUACUAGUCACCAUUUAAAAUGAACACUUUACCUUUUAUCUUGAAUGUAGCCUUCAACUUUGUGUAAUUCCUUACCAAAAAGGCCACAUGGCUUGAAAUUCAACACACAUUUGUCCCCAGUCCUGAGGAGGAGAUAGGAAGCUCAGAUUACCAUCUGCCACGGAAGAAGCAAUAGAGAGUAAUGAUUAUGGUAACAUUUCCAGCAGCAUUUUGCUGCUGGGCCCACA
Molecule: long non-coding RNA, 683 nt
Organism: Phyllostomus discolor (pale spear-nosed bat)
Lineage: Eukaryota; Metazoa; Chordata; Mammalia; Chiroptera; Phyllostomidae
Exons: 2
Source: RefSeq, a predicted model, not a curated record